AAUAAGUAUAAUUUUAUACUGUUUAUCUCUAACGUUUGAUCAUUCGUUUUAUUUGAAAUUUUUUUAUGAUUAGUAUUUAUAUUAUUAUUAGAUGAUAAAACAUGAAUAGUACUUUAUGUAUGACUACUUUUUUUUAAAAAAAUUUAAAUAAGGCGGAUAGUCAAACGUUGGACACGGUUACCCACGACUGCACUUAUU
Molecule: non-coding RNA, 198 nt
Organism: Oryza glumipatula
Lineage: Eukaryota; Viridiplantae; Streptophyta; Magnoliopsida; Poales; Poaceae
Source: Rfam